GGGCAGGAAGGCUGCCACCAAAGGGUCCCUGGGUCGGGACCCAGUGUAGAAGGUGGGCCUGGGUCCCCACCUUCCCCCUUGCAUGAACACCCAGCCAGUGGAUGUGGUGAGAGUGGACUGCAGCAGACCCCUGAUGCUAGGGGUAGACUUUGGGGUGUGGUUGACCAUGGUGGCGGGGGUGCAGAAGGACUGCUGAUAACAGACCCCUAGAAAGGGGUGAGACCGGAGCAGUGGGCACUGCUGGAGGGCAGUGUCCUGAAGAGGAUGCCGCCGAGCGGGAAGCAACGUGGGUCCAGACAACAGGAAAGGAGCAGAGGAUGGAUGGGACACCACUGGCAGAGGGUGCUCCUCCAAGGACUGACCUAAUUCAGUCACCAGUGGGAAGCGCUGUGGUGACACUGGAUAGAAGAACAGGAACACAGAUGGGAACCAAGAUCUCAGAGAAUGAUCAGGAACACAACAGGAAUUGGAGUUCAGGAACCUCUGCGACAGAAUUUCUUAUACAAAAGGAAACUAUUUCCACUUCCUUGCACCAGUCUGCCUGAUUAUAAUCUGAUGCAAAGCCUGCAUCCCUCUCAAUUGCUUUGAGAGACUCUACAGCAACAUUUUCCACUGACCUUUUCCAAAUUUCCUGAGAUUGUCUGGUACGUCAUGUCAGCGAUGUCAUGUAAAUACAGCAUGUCAAGAAAAAUCAGGUGACCUUUCUCAGAUUAUUUUGUAGUACACCGUUAGAAAUCCAAUUCUUGGUGCCCUACUGAUUGUGUAAUAAACAUGAUGAGAGCAUAUAUCAUUACAGCUGAAUUUGCUUCAUAUUGGCAUUUUGUGUGCCAUUGCAGUGGAAUAGAUGGAUGGUUCAACUCUGAAUGAGAAUAUCUCCCCAAUGGGACCUUUCCUGUUUCUCUUUAUUAUGAAUGGUCAUGACUGUUUUUAGUUAAAAUCCAAUGGGACUGAAAUGAGCUAGGAAAGGUUUUAUUUCUUCUUGACCUUUAGUGGCUCAUACAGUACUCUACAUCCCCUUAUUACACAAUAAAAGUAUUGGCUCUCUAUAGAAGAUUGUACUCAGAGACUGAAGGUGAUACAUUAACUUAUUGUCAAGACAAAGGGAAGUUCCAAGCUAUUAUCAAUGCCUACAUACAUCUGGAAGCU
This is a long non-coding RNA of Mauremys reevesii (Reeves's turtle), 1146 nucleotides long. RefSeq lists it as uncharacterized. NCBI's taxonomy places the organism in Eukaryota, Metazoa, Chordata, Testudines, Geoemydidae. The transcript has 3 exons. The record is from RefSeq and is a predicted model, not a curated record.